RNAcentral lists this ribosomal RNA (938 nucleotides) under uncultured archaeon. Its description in RNAcentral is "bacterial SSU rRNA". It matches the Rfam family "Archaeal small subunit ribosomal RNA", at positions 8 to 921 of the family's 1478-position model. The record is from RNAcentral.
UGGAUCCUGCCGGACCCUACUGCUAUCGGGGUGGGACUAAGACAUGCGAGUCGAACGCUUCACAGCCAUGAGUGAAGCGUGGCAUACGGCUCAGUAACACGUGGCUAACCUACCCUCGAGACAGGGACAACCCCGGGAAACUGGGGCUAAUCCCCGAUAGAUGAGAACACCUGGAACGGGUUCUCGUCCAAAAGGUGCUAGGAUCAUGCUUCCUGGCGUCGCUCAAGGAUGGGGCCGCGUCCGAUCAGGCUGUUGGUGAGGCAACGGCUCACCAAACCUAUAACCGGUACGGGCCGUGGGAGCGGGAGCCCGGAGAUGGGAACUGAGACAAGGUCCCAGGCCCUACGGGGCGCAGCAGUUACGAAAACUUGUCAAUGCACGAAAGUGUGAACGGGCUACCCCAAGUGCCGUCCGCUGAGGAUGGCUUUUCUCCGCUGUAAGAAAGCGGAGGAAUAAGGCGAGGGCAAGUCUGGUGUCAGCCGCCGCGGUAAUACCAGCUCGCCGAGUGGUAGGGAUGAUUAUUGGGCCUAAAGCGUCCGUAGCCGGCCUUCCAAGUCUCCUGUUAAAUCCAGCGAUUCAAUCGUUGGACUGCAGGAGAUACUGUAAGGCUAGGAGGCGGGAGAAGCCGACGGUAUUUUCGGGGUAGGGGUAAAAUCCUAUAAUCCCGGGAAGACCACCAGUGGCGUAGGCGGUCGGCUAGCACGCGCUCGACGGUGAGGGACGAAAGCUGGGGGAGCGAACCGGAUUAGAUACCCGGGUAGUCCCAGCUGUAAACGAUGCGGGCUAGGUGUUGGAGCGGCUACGAGCCGCUCCAGUGCCGCAGGGAAGCCAUUAAGCCCGCCGCCUGGGGAGUACGGCCGCAAGGCUGAAACUUAAAGGAAUUGGCGGGGGAGCACCACAAGGGGUGAAGCUUGCGGUUUAAUUGGAGUCAACGCCGG